This 594-nucleotide ribosomal RNA is filed under the name uncultured Pseudomonadota bacterium. RNAcentral's name for it is "bacterial SSU rRNA". It matches the Rfam family "Bacterial small subunit ribosomal RNA", at positions 69 to 652 of the family's 1533-position model. The record is from RNAcentral. Lineage: Bacteria; Pseudomonadati; Pseudomonadota.
GUAACAGGAAACAGCUUGCUGUUUCGCUGACGAGUGGCGGACGGGUGAGUAAUGUCUGGGAAACUGCCUGAUGGAGGGGGAUAACUACUGGAAACGGUAGCUAAUACCGCAUAACGUCGCAAGACCAAAGAGGGGGACCCUCGGGCCUCUUGCCAUCGGAUGUGCCCAGAUGGGAUUAGCUUGUUGGUGGGGUAACGGCUCACCAAGGCGACGAUCCCUAGCUGGUCUGAGAGGAUGACCAGCCACACUGGAACUGAGACACGGUCCAGACUCCUACGGGAGGCAGCAGUGGGGAAUAUUGCACAAUGGGCGCAAGCCUGAUGCAGCCAUGCCGCGUGUAUGAAGAAGGCCUUCGGGUUGUAAAGUACUUUCAGCGGGGAGGAAGGGAGUAAAGUUAAUACCUUUGCUCAUUGACGUUACCCGCAGAAGAAGCACCGGCUAACUCCGUGCCAGCAGCCGCGGUAAUACGGAGGGUGCAAGCGUUAAUCGGAAUUACUGGGCGUAAAGCGCACGCAGGCGGUUUGUUAAGUCAGAUGUGAAAUCCCCGGGCUCAACCUGGGAACUGCAUCUGAUACUGGCAAGCUUGAGUCUCGU